CCUCCAGACUCCUACGGGAGGCAGCAGUGGGGAAUAUUGCACAAUGGGGGAAACCCUGAUGCAGCGACGCCGCGUGAGUGAAGAAGUAUUUCGGUAUGUAAAGCUCUUUCAGCAGGGAAGAAAAUGACGGUACCUGACCAAGAAGCCCCGGCUAACUACGUGCCAGCAGCCGCGGUAAUACGUAGGGGGCAAGCGUUAUCCGGAUUUACUGGGUGUAAAGGGAGCGUAGACGGCAGGGCAAGUCUGGAGUGAAAGGCGGGGGCUCAACCCCCGGACUGCUCUGGAAACUGCCAGGCUGGAGUGCAGGAGAGGUAAGUGGAAUUCCUAGUGUAGCGGUGAAAUGCGUAGAUAUUAGGAGGAACACCAGUGGCGAAGGCGGCUUACUGGACUGUAACUGACGUUGAGGCUCGAAAGCGUGGGGAGCAAACAGGAUUAGAUACCCUCGUAAA
This 449-nucleotide ribosomal RNA is filed under the name uncultured bacterium. Its description in RNAcentral is "bacterial SSU rRNA". It matches the Rfam family "Bacterial small subunit ribosomal RNA", at positions 328 to 794 of the family's 1533-position model. The record is from RNAcentral.